ACUGCGCGCUUUAAAUGAGGUUUGCGAGCGCGUAACCGUCCCAGUCCGUCUGCAGCACUGAGGCACCAAUGUGUCUUGCUGGCUUCACGUGAAGGAUAAUGCAGGCCAAGAGCCCCACUUCCGGCUCUUGGUCACGUGGUUAUUACCAGCGUGGGAGGUGGGACUCGCGCCCUUUUUCUGUAGAAGACCUGAGCCCCAUUCACUCCAAUGGAAAAUUGUAUGAUCAGCCAACAGCAGAAAGGUGAAUUAGAUGACCUGAAGCUGCACAUCCACUUGUGUACAUGAAGUGUAAUCCUUUGUUACAUUACGUGAGCGAGGCCUGCACCAUCAUGGUAUUUGGGAACAUCAUGAACCUGCAGCUCCGCUGACAUCCAGAUGGUUCCAGGACUUGCUUUUCUUUCUAAGGAUGGAAAACUGAUCCUGAGGCCCAGUGGGUGGGUGUUCCAACACUUUUUUUUUUUUUUUUUUUUUUUUCCAAGGUUGUAAAACUGAGAUCAUGUCAUGAAGCAUCUUUGAAUGGGCUCAAGGGGAGGUGCACAAGGGCUAUCAUGGAUUGCUAUAACUUUCAAGCUGAGGUGUUGAUUGGUGGUCAAGUUGCAGUCAGAUUAAUGGGAGGGAUAGCAGUGUGACCAUUGGCGGAUUUAAGGUGGCCACCCUGCUUGACCCCCGGGGGUGUGAAGGUGUUCCAGGAAUGUUACACUGCAUGUGUGCACACACGGGCCUUGUUUUUCUGACUGAAGUCCUUAACGAGGCUGGUAAAAUCCAAUUUGCUGGCAUGCCAUCACCAGUUGGAAACAGUGCAGUUUCCUUAUAAACUGCAGCAGUGACCAUGCCGUAUUCUCAUUUUCUCCAAGUUCUCUGAAUUGUCUCAAUUUUGUCCCUUUAAAAUCUUCCUCCAGCUGCAUAUAUCUUAUGGAGUUUAGCUGCGCCUGGGUGAAGAUCUAGUCUGGGGAAGGAUGGAACAUCAUUCAAAAAUGCAAACACCUGUGGAAGUGAUGCUGCCGAUGCAGUUGUUUCAACUGUAGCUGUAGGCAUGAUCUAGUUGAUUAGAUCAGGGGUUCCUAAACUUUUCCAGUGCAAGGCCCCCUUCAGUCAAAUGUUAAUGGCAUUAACAUUUGACUGAGGCCCCCCUUUUGCAAGAUGUCUUUAAAACACAUUAAAAAUCCAGAUUUUGGAAUAUUAAUUUAAAAAAGGGGAUAUGAUCAUCUCACAUCAUUUACAUUAGAGGUGAGUGUGUGUGUGUGUGUGUGUUGAGUGAGAAUUUAUUUUUCACACCAAAUUGGUGAGGACCCCUGGUUUGAAAACCACUGGAUUAAAUUCAGUAGCCUUGCAAUAUCCAGUCAAUUUAGGGGUUUUCACUUUUGUACAUAUCCAUGCCCAUAUAUUGACUUUUAUGAUGAGUACAUUUGGGUGUAUAUCUUAAAUUGCUGGAUGUAGACUGUAAUAGAGCCUUUUGAAUUCUCUUGUGUUGAAACUGUGAAAUAAGCUGAUGUUCAGGAUGGUAUAUGACUCAAAGGAUCUGUGUAAUGAACCAUUUAGACCCAAGGUACUUGUAAAAAGUCAAUUUUUAAAAAAAAAAUGUAUUUAUCAAAAAAUAACAACCUUAUCAUGCUGCAUUUAAGAGUGAUUCAAAUGCUAUUGCACCAUGCUGAUGUACUGUAGAUUUGCACAGAAUAAAGGAAACGUUUCACAUUUUGAUUCAGCAGCUUCUUUUCUAGAUAAAAGCAUUUUAGGAGAGCAGUGUACCAGAUCGAUCUAUCUCCCUAUAAACUGUUCCUGGACUGGCUGGGUUGAAGGAAAGCUUUGAUCAUCUGGAUUAUUGUGCAUGAGGUCUACGUCUUUUCACAACGUAGACGCUCGCUCCAAUGAUGCUUUCAAGGACUAAUCCAAAGAGUGUGACCUGUACAGGAACUUCAUUGCAGUUGUUGGUUAAUAGUUGUAGCCCUGUUAAAUAAUUUGAUUAAUUAUUAGGAAAGCUGUAGACUGAGAAACUGUGAACACUAAAGGAUUUAGGUGUCAGUUUAGUCUGACAUGAAUGGAGACUGACUAUACACCAGUACAAACAGUACAAGUACAGUGUUUGAAUAAGGGAUGAAUUUACCUUCUUUCAGUGAAACAGCUCGUGGUUCUCCUUCCUGAGAUUCAUCAUGGAUGUGAGACUGAUAAAAUCUUGCAUCAGACUGGUGAACUGAACUGAUGUGACGGGAGAGAUCACCAUCUAGGAAGCCUUCUGCUGACAUCAUAAAUCUGCCUGGUGAUGCUUCCUCAGUAGUCACCGAUCUAUUUUCCUGAGUGUACAGCAGAAGUGUUCGUCUAGCUUUCUUCCAUUUUAUAUCUUUAACACCUCGCCGAGUGUCUCCGUAGCAGGGGAGGGUGACAUUCUCCCCCUCAAAAGCCUUAACAU
Molecule: long non-coding RNA, 2404 nt
Organism: Ictalurus furcatus (blue catfish)
Lineage: Eukaryota; Metazoa; Chordata; Actinopteri; Siluriformes; Ictaluridae
Exons: 7
Source: RefSeq, a predicted model, not a curated record